RNAcentral lists this long non-coding RNA (407 nucleotides) under Prunus persica (peach). RNAcentral's name for it is "long non-coding RNA (PPER_LNC004833)". Lineage: Eukaryota; Viridiplantae; Streptophyta; Magnoliopsida; Rosales; Rosaceae. The record is from RNAcentral.
GAAAUACUAGAACUUGAGACAUACAAGGCAUUUAUCGUGUUAUACGGCUUGGCUCUUCAAAUUUACUUCACGAAGGCGUCCAGGAUUUUUGAUAUGCUUCACUUUUAUUUUAUUUUUAUUUUAUUUUAUUUUUUAUUUUCUUGAACUUUAACACAUAUUUCCUCGGUACACACCACCUCUUUUGUUGAUGUAGAGCUUAACCUUCAUCUUUGUCCUCAUGUGCUAUGGCAUAUCCCAAGUUAUAGGGUAUUGCUAAAAAUAGGGUAAAAAAGGUAAGGAAAUAUUGUGGGUGAUGAAAGAAAAGGCUAAGUGUUUGGCUUCAACGGGUUGAUGGCACACACAAUAGGUAGGACAUGAGGCUUUAUUUAGAGGUUAGAACAUGCAUAGCCUAACAUCAUCUCUCAAGG